GCGGCUCGCGGAAGCGAAAGCUCAUUAGCUCCUAGAGGAAAGACUGGGCCCUUCGUAAGCAUGGCUGAUUCCCUCUGGGCAUCUCCUCCGACAAACCUUCCAACAGGUUGUUAUUCUGGUUUUGUUUGGAUACAAUUCCAAGAAGAGGCUGGUCUGUGAAGCCUCUAAAGUACGUUGAUACUGUACUUUGACCUGGUAAAAGGAGCUCUAUAUUGGGUCAACAAGAAAGACUUACCUCAAGGCUGGCAGCAGAAACUGUUUAUAAGGAGAAACAUUCAUAUUUAUACACAGAGAUCUUUCAUUUAUUUAGCUCUAACUAAAUAAAAUAUUUUUAUUCUCAAA
Molecule: long non-coding RNA, 342 nt
Organism: Neogale vison (American mink)
Lineage: Eukaryota; Metazoa; Chordata; Mammalia; Carnivora; Mustelidae
Exons: 3
Source: RefSeq, a predicted model, not a curated record